Molecule: ribosomal RNA, 722 nt
Filed under: uncultured Fusobacterium sp.
Lineage: Bacteria; Fusobacteriati; Fusobacteriota; Fusobacteriia; Fusobacteriales; Fusobacteriaceae
Description: bacterial SSU rRNA
Rfam family: Bacterial small subunit ribosomal RNA
Source: RNAcentral
GAUGAACGCUGACAGAAUGCUUAACACAUGCAAGUCAACUUGAACUUCGGUUUGGGUGGCGGACGGGUGAGUAACGCGUAAAGAACUUGCCUCACAGAUAGGGACAACAUUUGGAAACGAAUGCUAAUACCUGAUAUUAUGAUUUUAGGGCAUCCUAGAAUUAUGAAAGCUAUAUGCGCUGUGAGAGAGCUUUGCGUCCCAUUAGCUAGUUGGAGAGGUAACGGCUCACCAAGGCGAUGAUGGGUAGCCGGCCUGAGAGGGUGAUCGGCCACAAGGGGACUGAGACACGGCCCUUACUCCUACGGGAGGCAGCAGUGGGGAAUAUUGGACAAUGGACCAAGAGUCUGAUCCAGCAAUUCUGUGUGCACGAUGAAGUUUUUCGGAAUGUAAAGUGCUUUCAGUUGGGAAGAAAAAAAUGACGGUACCAACAGAAGAAGUGACGGCUAAAUACGUGCCAGCAGCCGCGGUAAUACGUAUGUCACAAGCGUUAUCCGGAUUUAUUGGGCGUAAAGCGCGUCUAGGUGGUUAUGUAAGUCUGAUGUGAAAAUGCAGGGCUCAACUCUGUAUUGCGUUGGAAACUGUGUAACUAGAGUACUGGAGAGGUAAGCGGAACUACAAGUGUAGAGGUGAAAUUCGUAGAUAUUUGUAGGAAUGCCGAUGGGGAAGCCAGCUUACUGGUCUGUAACUGACGCUGAGGCUCGAAAGCGUGGGGAGCAAACAGG